Molecule: long non-coding RNA, 1438 nt
Organism: Mesocricetus auratus (golden hamster)
Lineage: Eukaryota; Metazoa; Chordata; Mammalia; Rodentia; Cricetidae
Exons: 4
Source: RefSeq, a predicted model, not a curated record
AGUUACAGUUAAUUAUUCUUCUACUUGACAUGGACAUGCUGGGAGUCAGAAACAGCAAAUACAGAUACUAAUGGCUUCACUUUUUCCAACACGGGAGACUGGACCUAGGGCCUCAUCCAUGCUAAGGAAGUGCCAUGACCACGAGGCUGUAUCCCUAGCCUUCUUUUUUGUUCCUUGAGAUAGCCUCACCUGUUGCCCUGGUGGACCUGAACUCACCAUGUAGCCCAAGUGAGUCUAGAACUUAACAGUCUUCCCAAGGAAUUAUAAUUAUAGGCCUAUGGCCAACAGGCUUGACUGUAGCUUUUUCUCUCUGUUUCCUCACUUGAAAACAGAGGUGACAAUAACUGCCUCACGGUAUUCCUCUGAAGGCUAAACACUAACAGAAGAAAGGAUGUGACCCACCCUCCCCACCCCCACCCUGGGGAAUUCCCAAUGAAUUCUAAAUGUCACAUCUCCCUGUUCUAAGGGGCUCACACCAAUAAACGAGAAGACAGACCCGUAAUCUGGGUUUCCUGCAUCUGAAAUGCUCAUGCUAAGACACGGGAUACAUGUAAAUCAUGAUUUUUGCUUGUGUUCAAAGCAAAGGCUGCCUUAGAUGAAGGAAGUAUUUACAAUGAGUUACUACUGGGCUUACAUUCAGCUUCUCUGGUGUUCCAGCAGAAUGGAUGACAGACUCUUUGGAGUUGGUCCAGGCCUUGGGAAACGGUAUUUCUUCCCAAACCCCACACACCCCCGGCCCCAGUUAACUGCACUUCUUCCUCCUCCCAGGAGCGUCUUUGCGAAUGCCUCUCCCACAGACCCAGGCUGCCCACUGGCCCCAGGAUUCUUGGCGGACAGCACGGAGGGGCGGAAUACUAAAAGAGAGGGUUGGCUUCUAAACAAACGGAAGUCUGAGAGGGUGAAAGAGGAGUGAGGAGGGAGGUAAAGGAGAGUGAGUAGAUUUUCCGCAGAAGAUUCCCGAAGGCCAGAGGCCGGUUUUGCGGUCCCAUACUCCACCUUCCACCCCUCCCCCAAGCCUUCUUCCCAGUGCUGAAUUUUUAACGAGCCACCAGCCGGUUGCCUGCUCUUCGCCCCAGGGAGGGAGGAUCCCAGCGAGCCGGAGGAUCUGUCUGCUCCCGCUGCUUUGCACAGUUGGUCGCCCAGGUUUGGCUGUUAAAUGUGCCAGGCGUGGGAAAGCAAGCACACUGUUUUUUGACUAUACCUCAAAGAAUGGCAAAGACUUCUGGGAGAGAGAUUUGAAGGCAGUGGUCAAGGUCAAAAAGGAAUUAGCUUUGGGCAAGGGAUACAGGUCUAGCGUGUGCUUGCCAAGAAUGGUGGUCAAGCAUGGAAAACCAAAGAAUCAUUUCUUCUCUGUUACAGGAGACUACACCAGGUGUCUACCUCUUGACCUUGCUGGGAAAUAAUAAAAGAUUAAUUCUGUGUUACUCAGAGGCUUGAA